This 380-nucleotide long non-coding RNA is filed under the name Lathyrus oleraceus (garden pea). RNAcentral describes it as "Pisum sativum (pea) long non-coding RNA (PSAT_LNC035564)". Lineage: Eukaryota; Viridiplantae; Streptophyta; Magnoliopsida; Fabales; Fabaceae. The record is from RNAcentral.
AUUUCGUGCUAAUCAUUUUAAUGCAGCAAGUUUAAUUUUUCGAAUAUUCUUGCGCCCUAUUUUUAUUUAUUUUAAUUCUAAUUAAUUUUAUAAAUAAUCAUUUUGAUUUUAUUUAAUUCUAUCAAGAAUAUUAGAAUUUCUUAUUUCAUUUUAUUUCAAACUCUUUUUAAUUACUAAACUAUUUAAAGGGGCAUUUUGGACUUAAUUGAUGAAUUUGCAACCCUACUUGUUCACCAUAAAUACUAACUCAUGCUAUUGGCCAAAGGAGAGCAAAAACAUAGACAAAAAACUGAUAGAACAACCUCCCCCUCCUUGUAUGUAUAUCUCUCUCAAAUCUGAAGAAAAAGAAAAAAAGAAAAAAACUCAUUUUUACACUCAGC